RNAcentral lists this ribosomal RNA (254 nucleotides) under uncultured bacterium. RNAcentral describes it as "partial 16S ribosomal RNA". It matches the Rfam family "Bacterial small subunit ribosomal RNA", at positions 524 to 776 of the family's 1533-position model. The record is from RNAcentral.
CACGUAGGCACCAAGCGUUGUCCGGAUUUAUUGGGCGUAAAGAGCUCGUAGGCGGUUCAGUAAGUCGGGUGUGAAAACUCAGGGCUCAACCCUGAGCGGCCACCCGAUACUGCUGUGACUUGAGUCCGGUAGGGGAGUGGGGAAUUCCUGGUGUAGCGGUGAAAUGCGCAGAUAUCAGGAGGAACACCGGUGGCGAAGGCGCCACUCUGGGCCGAGACUGACGCUGAGGAGCGAAAGCGUGGGUAGCAAACAGG